RNAcentral lists this ribosomal RNA (1221 nucleotides) under Marinococcus halophilus. RNAcentral's name for it is "bacterial SSU rRNA". It matches the Rfam family "Bacterial small subunit ribosomal RNA", at positions 51 to 1233 of the family's 1533-position model. The record is from RNAcentral. Lineage: Bacteria; Bacillati; Bacillota; Bacilli; Caryophanales; Bacillaceae.
AUACAUGCAAGUCGAGCGCGGGAAACCGGCGGACUCCUUCGGGAGGAAACCGGUGGAACGAGCGGCGGACGGGUGAGUAACACGUGGGCAACCUGCCGGACUGAUGGGAAUAACCCCGGGAAACCGGGGCUAAUGCCCAAUACGCCCUGACCUCGCCUGAGGUCAGCGGUAAAGCAGGGAUCUUCGGAUCCUUGCACAGUCCGAUGGGCCCGCGGCGCAUUAGCUAGUUGGAGAGGUAAGGGCUCCCCAAGGCGACGAUGCGUAGCCGACCUGAGAGGGUGAUCGGCCACACUGGGACUGAGACACGGCCCAGACUCCUACGGGAGGCAGCAGUAGGGAAUCAUCCGCAAUGGGCGAAAGCCUGACGGUGCAACGCCGCGUGAGUGAUGAAGGUUUUCGGAUCGUAAAGCUCUGUUGACAGGGAAGAACCCACGCCAGUCGAACAGGCUGGCGUGCUGACGGUACCUGUCCAGAAAGCCCCGGCUAACUACGUGCCAGCAGCCGCGGUAAUACGUAGGGGGCAAGCGUUGUCCGGAAUUAUUGGGCGUAAAGGGCACGCAGGCGGUUUCGUCAGUCCGAUGUGACAGGCCACGGCUCAACCGUGGAAGGCCAUUGGAAACUGCGAAACUUGAGGACAGAAGAGGAGAGUGGAAUUCCACGUGUAGCGGUGAAAUGCGUAGAUAUGUGGAGGAACACCAGUGGCGAAGGCGACUCUCUGGUCUGUACCUGACGCUGAGGUGCGAAAGCAUGGGGAGCAAACAGGAUUAGAUACCCUGGUAGUCCAUGCCGUAAACGCUGAGUGCUAGGUGUUAGGGGUUUCGAUACCCGUAGUGCCGAAGCUAACGCAUUAAGCACUCCGCCUGGGGAGUACGACCGCAAGGUUGAAACUCAAAGGAAUUGACGGGGGCCCGCACAAGCGGUGGAGCAUGUGGUUUAAUUCGACGCAACGCGAAGAACCUUACCAGAUCUUGACAUCUUCCGCUACGCCUCGAGAGAGGCGGUUCCCCUUCGGGGGACGGAAUGACAGGUGGUGCAUGGUUGUCGUCAGCUCGUGUCGUGAGAUGUUGGGUUAAGUCCCGCAACGAGCGCAACCCCUAAUCUUAGUUGCCAGCAUUCAGUUGGGCACUCUAAGGUGACUGCCGGUGACAAACCGGAGGAAGGUGGGGAUGACGUCAAAUCAUCAUGCCCCUUAUGAUCUGGGCUACACACGUGCUACAAUGG